GAUGAAGAACGUAGUGAAAUGCGAUAAGUAAUGUGAAUUGCAGAAUUCCGUGAAUCAUCGAAUCUUUGAACGCACAUUGCGCCCCCUGGUAUUCCGGGGGGCAUGCCUGUCCGAGCGUCAUUGCAACCUUCAAGCGCGGCUUGUGUGUUGGGGUCCUGCGGCUGCCCGCAGGCCCUGAAAACCAGUGGCGGGCUCGCUAGUCACACCGAGCGCAGUAGCACAUCUCGCUCAGGGCGUGCGGCGGGCUCCAGCCGUUAAAGCACCCACCUUUCGCAAGGUUGACCUCGGAUCAGGUAGGAAUACCCGCUGAACUUAAGCAUAUCAAUAAGCGGAGGA
Molecule: unclassified non-coding RNA, 336 nt
Filed under: soil metagenome
Description: partial contains 5.8S ribosomal RNA, internal transcribed spacer 2, and large subunit ribosomal RNA
Rfam family: 5.8S ribosomal RNA (bases 1-120)
Source: RNAcentral